Molecule: unclassified non-coding RNA, 249 nt
Filed under: Hevea brasiliensis (rubber tree)
Lineage: Eukaryota; Viridiplantae; Streptophyta; Magnoliopsida; Malpighiales; Euphorbiaceae
Source: RNAcentral
GAGAGAGAGAGAGAGAGAAUAUCAGAAACUCAGAAGCAGUGUCAUUAGAUGAGAAGAUGAAGAACUGUUUUCAAUGAGAGAAGGAGCGUGUAGAAGAAGUGGAUGGAGAAGUGGUUUUAUUUAUCGGACUUGAAAAAGCAAUUUGAACAGGAUUACAUCGUAGAGGAGAAGGCAAAAACCAAAUAUGGGAUUGAGUCCAAGAAAAUUAAAGAAUUUUUUGUGGAAUAAAAAUAUGCAUUUCUUUCUAUU